AUUGAACGCUGGCGGCAUGCUUUACACAUGCAAGUCGAACGGCAGCGCGGGCUUCGGCCUGGCGGCGAGUGGCCAACGGGUGAGUAAUGCAUCGGAACGUGCCCAGUAGUGGGGGAUAGCCCGGCGAAAGCCGGAUUAAUACCGCAUACGACCUGAGGGUGAAAGCGGGGGACCGAAAGGCCUCGCGCUAUUGGCGCGGCCGAUGUCGGAUUAGCUAGUUGGUGGGGUAAAGGCUUACCAAGGCGACGAUCCGUAGCUGGUCUGAGAGGACGACCAGCCACACUGGGACUGAGACACGGCCCAGACUCCUACGGGAGGCAGCAGUGGGGAAUUUUGGACAAUGGGGGCAACCCUGAUCCAGCCAUGCCGCGUGCGGGAAGAAGGCCUUCGGGUUGUAAAACGCUUUUGUUCGGGAAGAAAUCCUCUGGGCUAAUACCCCGGGGGGAUGACGGUACCGGAAGAAUAAGCACCGGCUAACUACGUG
This 484-nucleotide ribosomal RNA is filed under the name uncultured bacterium. RNAcentral describes it as "partial 16S ribosomal RNA". It matches the Rfam family "Bacterial small subunit ribosomal RNA", at positions 28 to 507 of the family's 1533-position model. The record is from RNAcentral.